RNAcentral lists this small nuclear RNA (296 nucleotides) under Echinops telfairi (small Madagascar hedgehog). RNAcentral describes it as "7SK RNA (ENSETEG00000024535.1)". It matches the Rfam family "7SK RNA". Rfam says of the family: 7SK was discovered as an abundant small nuclear RNA in the mid-70s but a possible function has only recently been suggested. Two independent studies have found that 7SK RNA binds the CDK9/cyclin T complex (known as elongation factor P-TEFb). P-TEFb activates transcription by phosphorylating the C-terminal domain of RNA polymerase II. Lineage: Eukaryota; Metazoa; Chordata; Mammalia; Afrosoricida; Tenrecidae. The record is from RNAcentral.
GGAUGUACGGGAGUUCUGGCUGUGCAUCUGUCACUCCACAGGUGACCAGGUUGAUAGGCAGAUCGGGCUGGCUAGGUGGGUGUCCCCUUCCUCCCUCACCGCUUCAUGUGUGCCCCUCUCAAAGCUGUAUGUUUGGUUGAGGAGGAAGAGCUUCGCUGUUAGAAGGAUGUUCAUCCUUCAGUUGAGGGUCAAUGAGUAGCUGUAUUACCCUACUAGAAUAUCCAAAUAAGCUGAGACAAAGGAGGAGGAGUGGUAAUAUUUUCUCAUAGUAUAGAAUUUAAAGAAAAAUGCAACAU